UACGUAGGGUGCAAGCGUUGUCCGGAAUUAUUGGGCGUAAAGAGCUCGUAGGCGGCUUGUCACGUCGAUUGUGAAAGCCCUGGGCUUAACCUGGGAAUUGCAGUCGAUACUACUCAGCUAGAGUAUGGGAGAGGGUAGUGGAAUUCCCGGUGUAGCGGUGAAAUGCGUAGAUAUGCGGAGGAACACCGAUGGCGAAGGCAAUCUCCUGGGCCUGCACUGACGCUCAUGCACGAAAGCGUGGGGAGCAAACAGG
RNAcentral lists this ribosomal RNA (253 nucleotides) under uncultured bacterium. Its description in RNAcentral is "partial 16S ribosomal RNA". It matches the Rfam family "Bacterial small subunit ribosomal RNA", at positions 524 to 776 of the family's 1533-position model. The record is from RNAcentral.